RNAcentral lists this ribosomal RNA (492 nucleotides) under uncultured bacterium. RNAcentral describes it as "partial 16S ribosomal RNA". It matches the Rfam family "Bacterial small subunit ribosomal RNA", at positions 29 to 507 of the family's 1533-position model. The record is from RNAcentral.
AGUGAACGCUGGCGGUAGGCCUAACACAUGCAAGUCGAACGGCAGCACAGUAAGAGCUUGCUCUUACGGGUGGCGAGUGGCGGACGGGUGAGGAAUACAUCGGAAUCUACUUUUUCGUGGGGGAUAACGUAGGGAAACUUACGCUAAUACCGCAUACGACCUACGGGUGAAAGCAGGGGAUCUUCGGACCUUGCGCGAUUGAAUGAGCCGAUGUCGGAUUAGCUAGUUGGCGGGGUAAAGGCCCACCAAGGCGACGAUCCGUAGCUGGUCUGAGAGGAUGAUCAGCCACACUGGAACUGAGACACGGUCCAGACUCCUACGGGAGGCAGCAGUGGGGAAUAUUGGACAAUGGGCGCAAGCCUGAUCCAGCCAUACCGCGUGGGUGAAGAAGGCCUUCGGGUUGUAAAGCCCCUUUGUUGGGAAAGAAAAGCAGCAGGCUAAUACCCCGCUGUUCUGACGGUACCCAAAGAAUAAGCACCGGCUAACUUCGUG